This 486-nucleotide ribosomal RNA is filed under the name uncultured bacterium. RNAcentral's name for it is "partial 16S ribosomal RNA". It matches the Rfam family "Bacterial small subunit ribosomal RNA", at positions 30 to 507 of the family's 1533-position model. The record is from RNAcentral.
AUUGAACGCUGGCGGCAUGCCUUACACAUGCAAGUCGAACGGCAGCACGGGUGCUUGCACCUGGUGGCGAGUGGCGAACGGGUGAGUAAUACAUCGGAACAUGUCCUGUAGUGGGGGAUAGCCCGGCGAAAGCCGGAUUAAUACCGCAUACGAUCUACGGAUGAAAGCGGGGGCCCUUCGGGCCUCGCGCUAUAGGGUUGGCCGAUGGCUGAUUAGCUAGUUGGUGGGGUAAAGGCCUACCAAGGCGACGAUCAGUAGCUGGUCUGAGAGGACGACCAGCCACACUGGGACUGAGACACGGCCCAGACUCCUACGGGAGGCAGCAGUGUGGAAUUUUGGACAAUGGGCGAAAGCCUGAUCCAGCAAUGCCGCGUGUGUGAAGAAGGCCUUCGGGUUGUAAAGCACUUUUGUCCGGAAAGAAAUCCUUGGCCCUAAUACGGUCGGGGGAUGACGGUACCGGAAGAAUAAGCACCGGCUAACUACGUG